GCCAUCUUCUUCCCUCACGGCCACCGCUUCCGCACGGAAGCUGACACCGCUCGGAGUAGGGGACAAAAAGGACCCAGCGCUCGAAACGCGAAGGACCAACGAAAGGAAGGAGGGAGGAGACAAGGAGAGAGCAGUGCGCAGGCGUGUUCCCUAGGCGCCGGCCCCUGGGAGGAGCAAGUCGUGGGCCGCCUUUGGGCUCAGCGGAUGGAGGCGCGGGGUGGGUUGGAGUCUUAAGGGCACAGACCCGAAUUGCAGGAUUCUACCAAGAUCCCCCAUUGCAUUGCAUUUGUUUUCACUUCCCCUUAGUCUCCUCCAAUCUGUGACAAUUCUUCAGUGUGUCCUUGUCUUUCAAGACUUUAACUUUUGUUAUCUUUUAACAGUUUUGGAAGUUCCACCAAGAUGCCCAGGGGAUUCACCUUACAGAGCCAGGAAACAGAGGCUCAGGGUUGCUAAGAAACUUGCCCACGGUCACAUAGCCAGUAGGAAGCCCAGAGGUGCAAGGUGAACCCGGGUAGUCUGGCUCCAAAGAAUGUGAUCUUCAUCACAAAGCUAUACUUUCUCUGUUUGGGCAGUACUGCUACUGGUUAGGCUCUUGAAACCCCUUUGUAAGUUCCUCCCCUGAUUUGUUAAGGUGAGCCAUAUAUUUGUUUCUGUUUGUUUGUUUGUUUUGCUUUUAUUGAGAUAUAAUUGACAUAUUAUAUUAGUUACAGGUGCACAACAAAAUGAUUUGAUAUUUGAUAUAUUGCAAAAUCAUCACCACCAUAAGUCUAGUUAACAUGUCGCCA
Long non-coding RNA from Neofelis nebulosa (Clouded leopard), 785 nucleotides. RefSeq lists it as uncharacterized. The record is from RefSeq and is a predicted model, not a curated record. Lineage: Eukaryota; Metazoa; Chordata; Mammalia; Carnivora; Felidae. The transcript is spliced from 4 exons.